AUUCCUAAGGCGCUCUGUGCAGCUAGCGUGCGGGUGCUCCAGGGAGAAGAGGAUGAGUGGGGAGAGAAUGGGAAGGCAGGGAGGAGAGCAGGGAGCCGGAGCCUCCCUGCCCUUUUCCAGAUCUCCUUGCAAUAGCCGCCCGGGCUGGGGCUUCUGGGGGAACUCUGGCACCUGCUCCAUCCAAGUUGGGAGGUAAGUAAGCUACGAAGGGAAGAGGAGGUGUCCUCUGAGCCACCACCGCCGCCCGGGGGGCCGCCAUCAGCCAAGCCUCUGCACACCCGCCUGCUGCGAGGCAGUCUGGCCUGGACAUCUGAAGCUCGUUAGCGGCCUGCUCCCGGGGGGCUGACCCUGCUUGGCGAGAGUUAUCCCAGACACAGCCGCAGAGGAUGGAGCCAACGAAGACCAGGUGAGGUGUGGCCACAGACGGGGGAACACAGUCUCUGGAGUGGCCUCUGGGGACCCCUGGAGAGCAGAGGAGGCUGAGAGAACGCACCGAGCCUGGGCCCAGCUCCAGCCCAUCCACUGGCUCCCAGCUUUGCAAACUGGAGAUGGGGGGUGGGAGGGGACCCCUUUCCCUCUUUGGACCUCUGUUUCCCCAUGUGUGCCUUGGAGGAGGGGCAAACAUGGCAGACGCUGAGGACCUUCCAGCCCUGACACUGUGGGGUCUCAGCCUGGCCUAGAAUUCCCAGCCUCUGAGGUUUAGCCCAGAGCUGGUGAGUGAGGGCUGGUGGGUGGAAGACAAUUCAGGGAUGGAGAGCCAUGAUGCCUGCCUCAGGCCUGAAGAUCAGAGGGGAGCCCAUCUCCAGAAAGUGAUGUCGCAUUUCAGAACAGUCAGGGAGGUGCCCUCUCGGUAUCCGUAGGUGGCAGAGACGGCGUGAGCUGAGCCUCCUGGAUGCAGGGGCUCCCACUGGACCGAUGGCCAAGUUCAAGACCCUCCUCCCUUUCUGGACCCAGCACUCCGCCCUGCUGUCCAGCUAGGCCACAGCUAACUUUCACUGGCUCCUUGUUUUAUUCCAGGCACUGUUCUAAACACUAUACACAUAUUCAAAUCAUUUGACCUUUCACUGGGUGGCAGGACCUGGGUGAGGGACCAGCCUGGAGUCUGGCCCUUAUCUGGUUGGUCCUGAUGUUGACCUUUCUCAAGAUGCCUAGGAAGGUCAGACAGGCUGGCCCUAACCAUGUCGCUCAAGGUCAAUGCCUCCUCCCAGCACUAUUGUAAGCAACCCCGGGCCGGCUCCCUUUCUGCUGACAGGAGUGCUCUUGUCCCCUCCCCCGUCUCCUUCCCUCCUGGGAGCUGGGUCUCUGGGAAGCUGGGGCCUGGAGGGCCUGGAGUCUGAGCAAAGGGGCGAGGAGGGCUUGUGCAGAGGGCUGUUCACGCAGACCUUGGUGAAACCUGAUGGACUGUCUCCACUCCGCAGAGAAGCCCUCUGGGGACUGGGAUGGGCACGUCCCUCAGACAGUUCUUCCCUUCUGGACAGUGUUGGAUGUGCACACAGCCAAAGUGGGCUUCUCUGGACCUUGGCUCUGCUCUGGACACCUCACUCCUUGCUGGUCCCUGAGGAACAAGCCUUGACAGCAGGUCCUGGAAGACAGCCUUAGACCGGAUUCUGGAAAGGCCUGGCGUCUCUUCCCGAACAGCAGAGCUUCCGCCCAAACGGAACUGCUUAAGUGCAGGAUACAGUAGGAAAUACUCCCCGCCAGGACUCGGGAGCCUGCACCCAGCCCUGCCUAGUUUGUGGAUCGACUCUGUGUGACCUUGGGCCAAUCCCUGCCCUCUCAGUUUCUUCCACUGUAGAAUGAAGACUUGGACUUGACCAAGUGGUUUCCCCGCAGCCUAUCUCAGUCUUUCAGCUUCUCUUGGUCCAGGGCCGUGCCCUCUCCUCCUAAGUAGACCAUACAAUUUAGAAUCAGAGGGCAGGGUUCAAGCUCCCCAAGGUCAUCACUCCCUAGCUGUGUGACCCUGGGCAGGGCACCACACCCCUCUGGGCUCUGCUCCCCCAUGGAAAGACAGAGUUCAGAGAGUGCUCACCCUCUGUGUCUGUGUCUCAGGGCUGCCAUAGGUCACAUGAGAGGUGGACCUCCAAGAUGUCUGGACGAUGCAGAGCGAGGUGUUCUACUGGCCUAUUAACUGCGAGUGCCCCCUGCCUGCCCAGCGCCCAGCUCUGUCCUGGCUCGGGGUCUGGCCCGGGCUUGCAGAUGCAGCCCCUGCCUGCCCGCAGACUAACAGAGCUCUGGCAGGAGGAGUGUGCGGACCCUGGGCCCAGCCCGCUGGAUGAAGUGUCAGUUACUUUGCCCAGGGGGCCUCAGGGCCCAUGACAUCAUGGACAGCACUUUCCAUGUUGGAGCUCACAGAACUAAGGCCAUUUUAAAAAAUAGCACUGCCUUUUUUCCUUUCUUUCUUUUUCCAUUUUGGCUAAGGCAUGGAAUGUGAAAGCUGCUAAAUUAUUGCAGGAAGGAGUAGAGGCUGGGUUCGUAGCUGACUCUGCUUUCUGGGGUCCUAAAAACAAUGGCAAACCCAGGAAGGCUGGCCCUUGCUUCCUCAUGCCCACCUCAACCCCACUGCAGGCUCCCCUGACAAGACCAAGGGGCGGGGGACAAUAAUGACCUGCCCCUGGUUCCCAGAUGACCUCUCUGGACCUCAGCUUGCCAUCUGUUGUGGACUGGAUGUUUGUGUCCCCCCAAAAUUCAUAUGUUGAUGCCCUACCCGCUAGUGUGAUGGUAUUUGGGUGGCGCCUUUGGGAGGUCAUAGGUUUAGAUGAGGUCAUGAGGGUGGGGCCCCCAUGAUGGGAUUAGUGUCUUUCCAAGAAGAGGAAGAGAGACUAGAGGUCUCUCUCUCUCCGUGUCUCUCUCUGCCAGGGCACAAAGAGGUCGUGUGAGCACACAGCAAGAUGGCGGCCCUCUACAAGCCGGGAAGAGGGCUGUCACCGAGACCCAAUCUGCCAGCACCUUGCUCUUGGACCUCCAGCCUCCAGAACUGUCAGAAAUAAAUGUCUGUUGUUCAAGCCA
Equus caballus (horse) is the source of this 3006-nucleotide long non-coding RNA. The record is from Ensembl. Lineage: Eukaryota; Metazoa; Chordata; Mammalia; Perissodactyla; Equidae.